GAUGAACGCUGGCGGCGUGCCUAAUACAUGCAAGUCGAGCGAACAGACGAGGAGCUUGCUCCUCUGACGUUAGCGGCGGACGGGUGAGUAACACGUGGAUAACCUACCUAUAAGACUGGGAUAACUUCGGGAAACCGGAGCUAAUACCGGAUAAUAUAUUGAACCGCAUGGUUCAAUAGUGAAAGACGGUUUUGCUGUCACUUAUAGAUGGAUCCGCGCCGCAUUAGCUAGUUGGUAAGGUAACGGCUUACCAAGGCAACGAUGCGUAGACGACCUGAGAGAGUGAUAGGCGACACUGGAACGGGGACACGGUCCAGACUCCUACGGGAGGCAGCAGUAGGGAAUCUUCCGCAAUGGGCGAAAGCCUGACGGAGCAACGCCGCGUGAGUGAUGAAGGUCUUCGGAUCGUAAAACUCUGUUAUGAGGGAAGAACAAAUGUGUAAGUAACUAUGCACGUCUUGACGGUACCUAAUCAGAAAGCCACGGCUAACUACGUG
This 497-nucleotide ribosomal RNA is filed under the name uncultured bacterium. RNAcentral describes it as "partial 16S ribosomal RNA". It matches the Rfam family "Bacterial small subunit ribosomal RNA", at positions 28 to 507 of the family's 1533-position model. The record is from RNAcentral.